UUCGGUAUUGUCCACGUCCGUAGUAGUUUGAGAGGGAGGCUGCUGUAGCUAGCGGCCCCAGGGCUAGAAGAGGAGAACUGAGGACGACGUUGACGGUUGGUACCGGAGGCUCUGACAACAGGAGUUCCACCGUUACAGGACGCCUCCAACGAGCCCCCGCCAAUUUUCCCACGAGUGGUUUUACCUUCCGCAGCUCUCGAAGCUGUAGCUGUACCUCGUCGUCUUCCACUGGCACUUCCCGUUGCAGUUCGGUCUUCUGCAAAAGGUCUGCCAGAGGUUCUGGCCCUUCUUCUGGCGGAAGACCCUCCGGCUUCGGUGAGGCCGGCGACGACGGCGACUCCGACGCGGCCGGCGAGGACGUGGCCUCCGCCGACGGGGCUGUCGUCUGCGGCGCGGACGUGGCCUCCGUUGGGGCCGGUUGUGGCAGCGAACUACCCGUGCGUAUCUACUACGGCGGCACUGGAAACUUUUGAGGUUCUAUAACAACAACUCUCUCAGUACACACCCGCCAAACGUGCUACAAUGAAUGCUCAACUGAUGUUGCAUUACCUUAUUUGUUUCACACAUACUGAAUCUUUUUACUUGUGCAGCAGCUGGUGUACUAAAUGUUAUCUAAAGGCAAGAUAAUUACAAGAUGUCGAGAAGGCAACUGCUUUCACAAGUCACGUCGGCAGGUACAAUUUAAAUGUGUUUUAUUUUAAACAUCAAACUUCUAUGUUACAACAUAUUUCCGGAUGAACGACGUUUUUUAACACCCUGUACAAUACAAACCGUGAUCGAACUCUGACGAGUCCAACCUCUUUAGCGUCUCUCAGCAGUUGUUGAGAGGGACGAUGGCACAUAGACGCCGAAAGAAGAUGCCCAGCUUGAAGCUGCGAUCGCACCUCGGCCACCUCAACACGGCCCUCUUUGCCUGCCGUGAUGGUUCAUGUUCUACCACCCUCCGACCCUCGUAAUGAGCACGCCCCUCGUGGUGAGGAGGGUUAGUACCUGACAGUCGCCCUAGUUCCGUUUUAUAGUUGAGCCGUUUUUUUUUCCGUAUCACGUUUUUACAAGGGAGGGUGUCAUGUUUUAAAAGUAGUAGUAUCAUUUUUUGAACUACGUGUAAGUGGUAAUUUUUAUAUAAUGGAGGCGGGGUUUUAAUAACAGAAUUUAAUUCUGUUAUUAAAACCCUGCCUCCCUCAUAUUUUAAUCGUGGAAUCCAACAACUUGAAACAAGUACAAGUACGUGUGGUACUACAAGUGAUACCUCUUAGGCCAAUAGUACAACAAAAAACCGUUUUUUUUAAGGCCAAUAGUACAACUUGAUGUUAACAUAUUUUUUUUGGUAUUUAUCGUUACGAUGUAGAUCUUUGGUUG
Molecule: ribosomal RNA, 1359 nt
Filed under: Triticum aestivum (bread wheat)
Lineage: Eukaryota; Viridiplantae; Streptophyta; Magnoliopsida; Poales; Poaceae
Description: partial small subunit ribosomal RNA
Source: RNAcentral